Molecule: ribosomal RNA, 482 nt
Filed under: uncultured bacterium
Lineage: Bacteria
Description: partial 16S ribosomal RNA
Source: RNAcentral
GUAGUUAGCCGGGGCUUCCUCCUUGGGUACCGUCACUUCCUUCGUCCCCAAGGACAGAGGUUUACAAUCCGAAAACCUUCUUCCCUCACGCGGCGUUGCUGGGUCAGGCUUUCGCCCAUUGCCCAAUAUUCCCCACUGCUGCCUCCCGUAGGAGUCUGGACCGUCUCUCAGUUCCAGUGUGGCCGUUCGCCCUCUCAGGCCGGCUACCGAUCGUCGCCUUGGUGGGCCGUUACCUCACCAACUAGCUAAUCGGACGCGAGCUCACCCCAAACCGGAUUGCUCCUUUUCCCUCAAGGCCAUGUGACCUCGUGGGCUUACGCGGUAUUAGCAGAUGUUUCCAUCUGUUAUCCCCCUGUCUGGGACAGAUUGCUCACGCGUUACUCACCCGUCCGCCGCUAGGUUUGACCGAAGUCUCCCCUCGCUCGACUUGCAUGUGUUAGGCACGCCGCCAGCGUUCGUCCUGAGCCAUGAUCAAACUCUGA